Long non-coding RNA from Ahaetulla prasina, 820 nucleotides. RefSeq lists it as uncharacterized. NCBI's taxonomy places the organism in Eukaryota, Metazoa, Chordata, Lepidosauria, Squamata, Colubridae. The record is from RefSeq and is a predicted model, not a curated record. The transcript has 2 exons.
GGAGACGGAGGCGUGUUCCUGCUCCGCCCAGGCCCCGUUCGACUCUCCUGGCGGACGAAGUUCCCUCAAGCCAAGCCCGUCCUGACGGCGGAGAGCAGCCGAGCCCUCAUAGAAAGAAUUUAUUUUUAAUAACAAUCUGAAACUGAAGAAAAGACUGCAGUUGGUACUACCACAAUGCAAAGAAAAAGAGGGAAGAUUAAUCAUUCUUCUAACAACAAGAUAUUGAAGACAUACCUUCAAAUUACUAUCUGUGCUGAUGAUGUUACUUAAUUUAAAUAAUGAAAUGUCUACAACAAAGCAACCAAGAGAGCACCAAAGGACCUCUAAACUCACGUCAACACUGUGUUACAAAUAUUAUCUUUUAUUGUCAUGAUUCUUUGGGAAAGAAGUCAUGGCAUUCACCCAAAAGGGGUGAGUGAUGUCACAUGAGUAUUUGAGUCUUCAUAUAAAUUAUGCAAUUGAUAUCAACUCACAUGGGAUAUUAUUUGUGACUUUUAUCAAACACCUAUGAAGGGUAUUUUCAUCAAGGUUGGAAGAAAGAAUGGAUGUAUUCGUUUCCACAUUCACACACACACACACAAAUGUGGCCCAGAAUUAGAAUUAUUCACACUCAGGCAUGACCAGGCAUUGGUACAUAAACAUUUAGUAAUAUCACCAUUGCCAAAAUAAUGUUUGUAUAUUCUUCAUCAUCUAAAUGUAAUGUCUGAUUUUGAUUUACAGUAGUUUGUCAUGAAACAAUGAAAUGCUCUGGAUCUCCUUUCUGAAUAGUCAUCUUCUAUAACAAUGUCUUCCUUAAUUAAAAUAAAUUUGGUUUGUUUCA